GAUGAACGCUGGCGGCGUGCCUAAUACAUGCAAGUCGAGCGAACGGACGAUAAGCUUGCUUCUCUGAUGUUAGCGGCGGACGGGUGAGUAACACGUGGAUAACCUACCUAUAAGACUGGGAUAACUUCGGGAAACCGGAGCUAAUACCGGAUGAUAUUUUGAACCGCAUGGUUCAAAAGUGAAAGACGGUCUUGCUGUCACUUAUAGCUGGAUCCGCGCUGCAUUAGCUAGUUGGUAAGGUAACGGCUUACCAAGGCAACGAUGCAUAGCCGACCUGAGAGGGUGAUCAGCCACACUGGAACUGAGACACGGUCCAGACUCCUACGGGAGGCAGCAGUAGGGAAUCUUCCGCAAUGGGCGAAAGCCUGACGGAGCAACGCCGCGUGAGUGAUGAAGGUCUUCGGAUCGUAAAACUCUGUUAUUAGGGAAGAACAUAUGUGUAAGUAACUGUGCACAUCUUGACGGUACCUAAUCAGAAAGCCACGGCUAACUACGUG
RNAcentral lists this ribosomal RNA (497 nucleotides) under uncultured bacterium. Its description in RNAcentral is "partial 16S ribosomal RNA". It matches the Rfam family "Bacterial small subunit ribosomal RNA", at positions 28 to 507 of the family's 1533-position model. The record is from RNAcentral.